Molecule: ribosomal RNA, 253 nt
Filed under: uncultured bacterium
Lineage: Bacteria
Description: partial 16S ribosomal RNA
Rfam family: Bacterial small subunit ribosomal RNA
Source: RNAcentral
GACAGAGGUGCCGAGCGUUAGGCGGAAUCACUGGGCUUAAAGCGUGUGUAGGCGGCUGGGUAAGUACCUUGUGAAAUCCCACGGCUCAACCGUGGAACUGCUCGGUAUACUGCUCGUCUUGAGCCAACUAGGGGCGACCGGAACAAACGGUGGAGCGGUGAAAUGCGUAGAUAUCGUUUGGAACGCCGAUGGUGAAAACAGGUCGCUGGGGUUGUGCUGACGCUGAGACACGAAAGCCAGGGGAGCGAACGGG